UACGUAGGGGGCGAGCGUUGUCCGGAGUUACUGGGCGUAAAGGGCACGCAGGCGGUGCGGCGCGUUUCGCGUGACAGCGGAGGGCUUAACUCUCCGAGGAUGCGAAAGACGGCGGCACUUGAGGGCCAGAGAGGGACACGGAAUUCCGGGUGGAGUGGUGAAAUGCGUAGAGAUCCGGAGGAACACCAGCGGCGAAGGCGGCAUCCUGGACUGGUCCUGACACUCAGGAGCGAAAGCGUGGGGAGCGAUCCGG
This 253-nucleotide ribosomal RNA is filed under the name uncultured bacterium. Its description in RNAcentral is "partial 16S ribosomal RNA". It matches the Rfam family "Bacterial small subunit ribosomal RNA", at positions 524 to 776 of the family's 1533-position model. The record is from RNAcentral.